Molecule: ribosomal RNA, 617 nt
Filed under: uncultured Verrucomicrobiota bacterium
Lineage: Bacteria; Pseudomonadati; Verrucomicrobiota
Description: bacterial SSU rRNA
Rfam family: Bacterial small subunit ribosomal RNA
Source: RNAcentral
UCCGGAGUAAUUCGGGAUUGGGUCAGUGGCGAACGGGUGCGUAACACGUGAGUGAUCUGCCUGAAAGUGGGGGGUAGCUCGCCGAAAGGCGAAUUAAUACCGCAUAUGUCCCGAAGCAAUUCGGGGCAAAGCCGGGGCAACCUGGCGUUUUUAGAGGAGCUCGCGGCCUAUCAGCUUGUUGGUAAGGUAACGGCUUACCAAGGCUUCGACGGGUAGCUGGUCUGAGAGGACGACCAGCCACACUGGAACUGAGGCACGGUCCAGACACCUACGGGUGGCAGCAGUCGAGAAUUUUUCUCAAUGGGGGAUUUUUCUGAAGGAGCGACGCCGCGUGGAGGAUGAAGGCUUUCGGGUUGUAAACUCCUGUCAUUUGGGAACAAAGCCUUACGUUAACUGCGUGGAGGUUUGAUAGUACCGAAAGAGGAAGAGACGGCUAACUCUGUGCCAGCAGCCGCGGUAAUACAGAGGUCUCAAGCGUUGUUCGGAUUCAUUGGGCGUAAAGGGCGCGUAGGCUGCGGGGUAAGUCGGGUGUGAAAUCUCAGAGCUCAACUCUGAAACUGCACUCGAUACUGCUUUGCUAGAGGACUGGAGAGGAGAUUGGAAUUCACGGUGUAGCA